This 497-nucleotide ribosomal RNA is filed under the name uncultured bacterium. RNAcentral's name for it is "partial 16S ribosomal RNA". It matches the Rfam family "Bacterial small subunit ribosomal RNA", at positions 28 to 507 of the family's 1533-position model. The record is from RNAcentral.
GAUGAACGCUGGCGGCGUGCCUAAUACAUGCAAGUCGAGCGAACGGACGAGAAGCUUGCUUCUCUGAUGUUAGCGGCGGACGGGUGAGUAACACGUGGAUAACCUACCUAUAAGACUGGGAUAACUUCGGGAAACCGGAGCUAAUACCGGAUAAUAUUUUGAACCGCAUGGUUCAAAAGUGAAAGACGGUCUUGCUGUCACUUAUAGAUGGAUCCGCGCUGCAUUAGCUAGUUGGUAAGGUAACGGCUUACCAAGGCAACGAUGCAUAGCCGACCUGAGAGAGUGAUCGGCCACACUGGAACUGAGACACGGUCCAGACUCCUACGGGAGGCAGAAGUAGGGAAUCUUCCGCAAUGGGCGAAAGCCUGACGGAGCAACGCCGCGUGAGUUAUGAAGGUCUUCGGAUCGUAAAACUCUGUUAUUAGGGAAGAACAUAUGUGUAAGUAACUGUGCACAUCCUGACGGUACCUAAUCAGAAAGCCACGGCUAACUACGUG